RNAcentral lists this microRNA precursor (200 nucleotides) under Medicago truncatula (barrel medic). RNAcentral's name for it is "MIR2670 microRNA precursor family". It matches the Rfam family "MIR2670 microRNA precursor family". The record is from Rfam by way of RNAcentral. Lineage: Eukaryota; Viridiplantae; Streptophyta; Magnoliopsida; Fabales; Fabaceae.
UUUGAGGUAAAUAGUGAGUAGCUGACUUAAGGAAGUGAUCAACCCUUGAGAUAAAAUUAAAUUUGCUUCUUUUUACCCCCAAAAACUUUUUACCGUGGGUAAAAAGAAUCUUCUUGGGGUAUAAAAAGAACCAGAUUUAGAUUCAACCCAAUGGUUAAUGAUGUAUUUUUCCCAAGAAAUCUGCUCACUAUUUACCCAAG